Molecule: ribosomal RNA, 324 nt
Filed under: uncultured bacterium
Lineage: Bacteria
Description: bacterial SSU rRNA
Rfam family: Bacterial small subunit ribosomal RNA
Source: RNAcentral
GAUGAACGCUGGCGGCGUGCCUAACACAUGCAAGUCGAGCGAAGCAUUUAACAUGAAGUUUUCGGACGGAAUGUUAUCUGACUGAGCGGCGGACGGGUGAGUAACGCGUGGGUAACCUGCCUUAUACAGGGGGAUAACAGUCAGAAAUGACUGCUAAUACCGCAUAAGCGCACAGUACCGCAUGGUAGUGUGUGAAAAACUCCGGUGGUAUAAGAUGGACCCGCGUCUGAUUAGCCAGUUGGCGGGGUAACGGCCCACCAAAGCGACGAUCAGUAGCCGACCUGAGAGGGUGACCGGCCACAUUGGGACUGAGACACGGCCCAA